RNAcentral lists this ribosomal RNA (422 nucleotides) under uncultured bacterium. RNAcentral describes it as "partial 16S ribosomal RNA". It matches the Rfam family "Bacterial small subunit ribosomal RNA", at positions 360 to 774 of the family's 1533-position model. The record is from RNAcentral.
AAUAUUUGACUAUGGGGGCAACCCUGAUCCAGCCAUACCGCGUGUGUGAAGAAGGUAUUCGCAUUGUAAAGCACUUUAAGUUGGGAGGAAGGCCUUUAGGCUAGUACCCUGAAUUCUUGACGUUACCGCCAGAAUAAGCACCGGCUUACUCUGCGCAAGCAGCCGCGGUAAUACAGAGGGUGCAAGCGUUAAUCGGAAUUACUGGGGGUAAAGCGCGCGUAAGUGGUUCAGUAAGAUGGGUGUGAAAUCCCCGGGCUUAACAUGGGAAUUGAUUUCAAAACUGACGAGCUAGAGUACGGUAGAGGGUAGUGGAAUUUCCUGUGUAGCGGUGAAAUGCGUAGAUAUAGGAAGGAACAUCAGUGGCGAAGGCGACUACCUGGACUGAUACUGACACUGAGGUGCGAAAGCGUGGGGAGCAAACA